AUGCCUCAGUAACGGCGAGUGAAGCGGCAAAAGCUCAAAUUUGAAAUCCAGUACCUUUGGUGCUCGAGUUGUAAUUUGAAGAUAUUUCUUUGGAGUUGGCCCUUGUCUAUGUUCCUUGGAACAGGACGUCAUAGAGGGUGAGAAUCCCGUCUGAUGGGGUGUCCAACUCUUUGUAAAGUUUUAUCGAAGAGUCGAGUUGUUUGGGAAUGCAGCUCUAAGUGGGUGGUAAAUUCCAUCUAAAGCUAAAUAUUGGCGAGAGACCGAUAGCGAACAAGUACAGUGAUGGAAAGAUGAAAAGAACUUUGAAAAGAGAGUGAAAAAGUACGUGAAAUUGUUGAAAGGGAAGGAUAUUAGAUCAGACUUGGUGUUUUACGAUUAUCUUCCCUUCUUGGGUUGUGCACUCGUGCUACACUGGGCCAGCAUCGAUUCGGACGGUAAGAUAAUGACUUAGGAACGUGGCACUCCUUCGGGAGUGUGUUAUAGCCUGUGUUGAUGUUGCCUGUCUGGAUCGAGGACUGCGUCUUGACUAG
Molecule: ribosomal RNA, 530 nt
Filed under: Wickerhamomyces silvicola
Lineage: Eukaryota; Fungi; Ascomycota; Saccharomycetes; Phaffomycetales; Wickerhamomycetaceae
Description: LSU rRNA
Rfam family: Eukaryotic large subunit ribosomal RNA
Source: RNAcentral